Molecule: transfer RNA, 61 nt
Filed under: Leiosporoceros dussii
Lineage: Eukaryota; Viridiplantae; Streptophyta; Leiosporocerotopsida; Leiosporocerotales; Leiosporocerotaceae
Description: tRNA-Val
Rfam family: tRNA
About the family: Transfer RNA (tRNA) molecules are approximately 80 nucleotides in length.
Source: RNAcentral
AGGGCUAUAGCUCAGCGGUAGAGCACCUCGUUUACAUACGGUUCAAAUCCGUAUAGCCCUA